CAGCCGUGUGCAUGUCUACAAUUUUAUCCCUGAUGUCCUUACACAGCUCUCUGGUCUUGGCCAUUGUGGCUACACGGCUGGAAAUGGUUCAACUCUGAGACUAUUGAUCCCCACAGAUUAAGAGCAAGUCUUGGAUACUAAUUACUUGUCUGCAGCUGGAAAUUAUGUAAACCUGUGAUGCGAAUACCGACAACCGCCUAAACAUCUAUUCUGUCGGACAUUUUCUGAAUGGUACUCUGAAGUAUUCCUUCUAACCAUGAAACACUUUGAUCUUCAGGGAAACAAAAAGAGAGAGAGACUCGGAUGAACUCUCCAGCAGACGGACCGGAUUCCAAUAGAGAAGACAACAAUGACAUACACUGUGCUUGUGAAACCCCCAUUCACCUGAGUCCCAGGUGUGUGUGUGACCCACCGCACGAAGUUAUGUAACCGAGCUAUGUGUACUGAGAGAGGAAGACUCCGUGAAAAUACUUGGGAACGUCGCAGCAGCACUCACAGACUUUAAUUACAUCCUCUAGUGUCUUUGUCACUGGGCCUUUGGGCAGGUUUGUGUUCUCACUAUUAUUAUUCAGGGGGGAGUGGUUGAGUUUCUUCUUUAUGAGUGUACUGUAUCUUCUUAGUCUCCCUACUCCUCCUUCCCUCCUUCCCCUCCCCUUUCACAGGAGGUUGGUAGCACCUUAAUUGAGGAGGAUGCGCACGUGGUAAUGGCUGGAGCAGAAUGGGUGGAAAGGUAUCAACAACAUCAAACACAUGGUUUCCAUGUGUUUGCUGCCAUUCCAUUCACGCCGUUCCAGCUAUGAGCCAUUCUCCCCUCAGCAGCCUCCACUGACCUCUAUCAAUCGUUAUGUCAACCCCUCUAUGAAAAAUCCAAAUGCCACAGAUCACACCGACAUCUUGAAACAGAACGUUUCUCUGUUGCAAAACCAUUAAACAUUUGGCAGCUCUUCAGUUUGA
Oncorhynchus gorbuscha (pink salmon) is the source of this 954-nucleotide long non-coding RNA. RefSeq lists it as uncharacterized. The transcript is spliced from 2 exons. NCBI's taxonomy places the organism in Eukaryota, Metazoa, Chordata, Actinopteri, Salmoniformes, Salmonidae. The record is from RefSeq and is a predicted model, not a curated record.